This 463-nucleotide ribosomal RNA is filed under the name uncultured bacterium. RNAcentral describes it as "partial 16S ribosomal RNA". It matches the Rfam family "Bacterial small subunit ribosomal RNA", at positions 28 to 507 of the family's 1533-position model. The record is from RNAcentral.
GACGAACGCUGGCGGCGUGCUUAACACAUGCAAGUCGAACGGUGAACCUCUUCGGAGGGGAUCAGUGGCGAACGGGUGAGUAACACGUGGGCAACCUGCCCCCGGCUCUGGGAUAACUCCAAGAAAUUGGGGCUAAUACCGGAUGUUCACCGCUUCCCGCAUGGGUGGUGGUGGAAAGGGUUUCCGGCUGGGGAUGGGCCCGCGGCCUAUCAGCUUGUUGGUGGGGUAGUGGCCUACCAAGGCGACGACGGGUAGCCGGCCUGAGAGGGUGACCGGCCACACUGGGACUGAGAAACGGCCCAGACUCCUACGGGAGGCAGCAGUGGGGAAUAUUGCGCAAUGGGCGGAAGCCUGACGCAGCGACGCCGCGUGGGGGAUGACGGCCUUCGGGUUGUAAACCUCUUUCAGCAGGGACGAAGCGCAAGUGACGGUACCUGCAGAAGAAGCACCGGCCAACUACGUG